Long non-coding RNA from Nerophis lumbriciformis (worm pipefish), 452 nucleotides. RefSeq lists it as uncharacterized. Lineage: Eukaryota; Metazoa; Chordata; Actinopteri; Syngnathiformes; Syngnathidae. The record is from RefSeq and is a predicted model, not a curated record.
GGAGAGCUUGUGUGCACUGACAUCAGCUCCGAUUGGAGGCUCCCCUCCGCCUGGUUUUGGGUGGGAGUAUUCUGCAGAGACAAGCAGACAGAGACAGGCCAUCAUCACCUGAGCCAGUCACAGAUCAGCGUUGCUUUCAAGAAGAUGUCAGUGUAUGGAAUUUGGGCUGGAUCGGGUCGUGGUUCAGCUCUCCCCCCUGCGUCGCGGAACCUGCACCGGAACCAGCACCGAGACUUUUCAUCAACGACCUAGCCGAGGACGACGAGCCUUAAAGGGCGGUGCAAGUCGAGCUCCCCGUCGGCCUGCAAUAAUGAUGUCAGAGUCGGAUAUAGCACACUCUGCACGCACAAUGCGCUUAUUUGCAUAACAUUUCGAUCAUCUAUAACCAUGCCAAAUGCAUUUUAUAUGAAUCUCCCAUACACUACUGCUCCAAUAAAGGUUAUGCACACUCA